RNAcentral lists this ribosomal RNA (450 nucleotides) under uncultured organism. RNAcentral's name for it is "partial 16S ribosomal RNA". It matches the Rfam family "Bacterial small subunit ribosomal RNA", at positions 334 to 800 of the family's 1533-position model. The record is from RNAcentral.
CACUCCUACGGGAGGCAGCAGUGGGGAAUAUUGGACAAUGGGCGCAAGCCUGAUCCAGCCAUGCCGCGUGAGUGAUGAAGGCCCUAGGGUUGUAAAGCUCUUUCACCGGUGAAGAUAAUGACGGUAACCGGAGAAGAAGCCCCGGCUAACUUCGUGCCAGCAGCCGCGGUAAUACGAAGGGGGCUAGCGUUGUUCGGAUUUACUGGGCGUAAAGCGCACGUAGGCGGACUAUUAAGUCAGGGGUGAAAUCCCGGGGCUCAACCCCGGAACUGCCUUUGAUACUGGUAGUCUUGAGUUCGAGAGAGGUGAGUUGAAUUCCGAGUGUAGAGGUGAAAUUCGUAGAUAUUCGGAGGAACACCAGUGGCGAAGGCGGCUCACUGGCUCGAUACUGACGCUGAGGUGCGAAAGCGUGGGGAGCAAACAGGAUUAGAUACCCGAGUAGUCCAAUGA